AAUGAACGCUGGCGGCGUGCCUAAUACAUGCAAGUCGAACGAAGUGGCGCACGGAUGAGUAAUAUAUAGUUAAGCUGCCCUACAAAGAGGAACAACAGUUGGAAACGACUGCUAAUACCUCAUAGUGUAGGAUGAGACUCUAUCGUAUCAGCUAGUUGGUAAGGUAAUGGCUUACCAAGGCUAUGACGCGUAACUUGUCUGAGAGGAUGAUCAGACAAAUUGUAACUGAGACACGGUCAAAACUCCUUCGGGAGGCAGCAGUAAGGUGUAAUGCGCAAUGGGGGAAACCCUGAGACAGCAACGCCGCGUGGAGCAUGACUCUUUUCGGAGCGUAAACUCCUUUUAUAAGGAAAGCGGUACCUGAUGAAUAAGCACCGGCUAACUCCGUGCCAGCAGCCGCGGUAAUAC
RNAcentral lists this ribosomal RNA (408 nucleotides) under uncultured bacterium. RNAcentral's name for it is "partial 16S ribosomal RNA". It matches the Rfam family "Bacterial small subunit ribosomal RNA", at positions 29 to 526 of the family's 1533-position model. The record is from RNAcentral.